This 275-nucleotide ribosomal RNA is filed under the name Megabothris abantis. RNAcentral describes it as "partial 12S ribosomal RNA". Lineage: Eukaryota; Metazoa; Arthropoda; Insecta; Siphonaptera; Ceratophyllidae. The record is from RNAcentral.
GGCUUGAAACUUAAAGAAUUUGGCGGUAUUUUAAUCUUUUCAGAGGAACCUGUUCUAUAAUCGAUAUUCCACGUUAAAUUUUACUAAAUUAUUUAUAUAUCGUUGUCGAAAGAAUAAAUUUUCUAAUAUUUUGAAAAAAAUAGAUGUCAAAUCAAGGUGUAGUUUAUAAUUUAGUAGAAAUGGGUUACAAUAAAUUUAUUUAGAAAAUUUUGGAAGGAGGAUUUGAAAGUAAAUUAAUUUUAAUAAAUUUAAUUGAUUAUAGUUCUAAGAUAUGU